RNAcentral lists this ribosomal RNA (459 nucleotides) under uncultured bacterium. RNAcentral describes it as "partial 16S ribosomal RNA". It matches the Rfam family "Bacterial small subunit ribosomal RNA", at positions 338 to 795 of the family's 1533-position model. The record is from RNAcentral.
CCUACGGGGAGCUGCAGUGAGGAAUAUUGGUCAAUGGCCGGAAGGCUGAACCAGCCAUGCCGCGUGAAGGUCAGUGCCCUAUGGGCGUUAAACUUCUUUUGUGCGGGAGCAAUAAUGGUCACGUGUGGCCAGACGAGAGUACCGUACGAAUAAGCAUCGGCUAACUCCGUGCCAGCAGCCGCGGUAAUACGGGGGAUGCAAGCGUUAUCCGGAUUUUUUGGGUUUAAAGGGUGCGUAGGUGGUGAGUUAAUUCAGCGGUGAAAGGCCCCGGCUAAAGGGGGGAAGUGCCAAUGAUAAUUGCUGGCUGGAAUGCGGAUGCGGUAGGAGGAAUGUGUGGUGUAGCGGUGAAAUGCAUAGAGAUCACACAGAACACCGAUUGCGAAGGCAUCUCACGAGUCCGCGAUUGACGCUGAUGCACGAAAGCGUGGGUAUCAAACAGGAUUAGAUACCCUUGUAGUC